GAUGAACGCUGGCGGCGUGCCUAACACAUGCAAGUCGAACGAAGCACUUGAGCUUGCUUGAGUGACUUAGUGGCGGACGGGUGAGUAAUGUGUGAGCAACCUGCCCUGGAGUGGGGGACAACAGUUGGAAACGACUGCUAAUACCGCAUAAUGUUCGAAGGAGGCAUCUCUUUUGAACCAAAGAUUUAUUGCUCUGGGAUGGGCUCACAUCUGAUUAGUUUGUUGGUGAGGUAACGGCUCACCAAGACUGCGAUCAGUAGCCGGACUGAGAGGUUGAACGGCCACAUUGGGACUGAGAUACGGCCCAGACUCCUACGGGAGGCAGCAGUGGGGAAUAUUGGGCAAUGGGGGAAACCCUGACCCAGCAACGCCGCGGUGAAGGAAGAAGGCUUUCGGGUUGUAAACUUCUUUUGUAAGGGAGCAAUAAGGUGUACGUGUACAUCGAUGAGAGUACCUUACGAAUAAGCAUCGGCUAACUCCGUGCCAGCAG
Molecule: ribosomal RNA, 490 nt
Filed under: uncultured bacterium
Lineage: Bacteria
Description: bacterial SSU rRNA
Rfam family: Bacterial small subunit ribosomal RNA
Source: RNAcentral